AAAAGAGGAGGAGAUUGGGGACCAAAGAGUGAAGUCGAUCUCAAAAAGUAGAAUCCAUUCAAGAAUCGUAACAUAUCAUUCUGACAUUUCCUCCGCAUGGUUCAAGGGAAUGGAGACGACUUCUAAACCGUUUCUUUGAGUCUUUCUUUUUCUCGCAUCUAGAUCCCUCAUGAUCCAAAUUGGUUCUCAAAGAGUUCUUACCACAUUCCAUGAGACACCCUUGUAGCUCUUUCACCAGAUAGCAUAUUGGAUCUUAAAUAAUUUCAACUAAUUAGUAUCAAAACUACUAUCUCCAUUAAUUUCUGUCGGAAAUCAUCGGAGAAAUUAAGGGCAUACA
Molecule: long non-coding RNA, 337 nt
Organism: Arabidopsis thaliana (thale cress)
Lineage: Eukaryota; Viridiplantae; Streptophyta; Magnoliopsida; Brassicales; Brassicaceae
Product: other RNA
Exons: 1
Source: RefSeq